GGAUCGAUGAUGACUCCCACAAAAACAUUCCUUGGAAGCUGAACAAAAUGAGUGAAAACUCUAUACCGUCGUUCUCAUCGAAACUGAGGUCC
This is a small nucleolar RNA of Marmota marmota marmota (Alpine marmot), 92 nucleotides long. Its record names the gene SNORD116. It matches the Rfam family "Small nucleolar RNA SNORD116". From Rfam's summary of the family: HBII-85 is a member of the C/D class of snoRNAs, which contain the C (UGAUGA) and D (CUGA) box motifs. HBII-85 is encoded in a tandemly repeated array with another C/D snoRNA, HBII-52, in the Prader-Willi syndrome (PWS) region of chromosome 15. NCBI's taxonomy places the organism in Eukaryota, Metazoa, Chordata, Mammalia, Rodentia, Sciuridae. The record is from Ensembl.